UACGUAGGGUGCAAGCGUUGUCCGGAAUUAUUGGGCGUAAAGAGCUCGUAGGCGGUUUGUCGCGUCUGCUGUGAAAACUCGGGGCUUAACCCCGGGCCUGCAGUGGGUACGGGCAGACUAGAGUGCGGUAGGGGAGACUGGAAUUCCUGGUGUAGCGGUGAAAUGCGCAGAUAUCAGGAGGAACACCGGUGGCGAAGGCGGGUCGCUGGGCCGUAACUGACGCUGAGGAGCGAAAGCGUGGGGAGCAAACAGG
RNAcentral lists this ribosomal RNA (253 nucleotides) under uncultured bacterium. RNAcentral's name for it is "partial 16S ribosomal RNA". It matches the Rfam family "Bacterial small subunit ribosomal RNA", at positions 524 to 776 of the family's 1533-position model. The record is from RNAcentral.